GAGCAAUGAAAGUUUGGCAACUGAAGUUGGAGAGAAAACGUUCUUGCCUACACUUUACAUAUAUUUUUUGACGAAUUUUAAGUUUGGAUGAAUGAAUUAUAGGGCAUUGAAGACAACACAUGUAAAUCAAAGGCAGUAAGUGAAUCAUUUUGUUGAUAGUAAUGGUUGGAGCCAUAUCUUGAGUUUUUGACGAAUUUUUGAUUCAAAAUUUCUAUAAGUGUGAGUUAUUAGGUUAAAAAGCUAUAGAUUAAAGUUUUAUAGUAUUUUAGUACUUAUUUUAUGAGAUAUAAAGAAAAUAGCAUGGGGGUGUAUGCAAGCUUAGGUUUAAAGCUAUUAUUAGGAUUUUGGUGAUAUCUCAAGAUUCAUAAUGAAUUUAUAGUUGAAUUUUUUUGUAAUAAUUUUUGAAAGUAUAUCAAUACUUCAUG
This 425-nucleotide long non-coding RNA is filed under the name Physcomitrium patens. Its description in RNAcentral is "long non-coding RNA (PPAT_LNC012622)". The record is from RNAcentral. Lineage: Eukaryota; Viridiplantae; Streptophyta; Bryopsida; Funariales; Funariaceae.